This 435-nucleotide ribosomal RNA is filed under the name uncultured bacterium. RNAcentral describes it as "partial 16S ribosomal RNA". It matches the Rfam family "Bacterial small subunit ribosomal RNA", at positions 29 to 507 of the family's 1533-position model. The record is from RNAcentral.
AACGAACGCUGGCGGCAUGCCUAACACAUGCAAGUCGAACGAUUGCCUUCGGGUGAUAGUGGCGCACGGGUGCGUAACGCGUGGGAAUCUGCCCUUAGGUUCGGAAUAACAGCUGGAAACGGCUGCUAAUACCGGAUGAUAUCGCGAGAUCAAAGAUUUAUCGCCUGAGGAUGAGCCCGCGUUGGAUUAGGUAGUUGGUGGGGUAAAGGCCUACCAAGCCGACGAUCCAUAGCUGGUCUGAGAGGAUGAUCAGCCACACUGGGACUGAGACACAGCCCAGACUCCUACGGGAGGCAGCAGUGGGGAAUAUUGGACAAUGGGCGCAAGCCUGAUCCAGCAAUGCCGUGUGAGUGAUGAAGGCCCUAGGGUUGUAAAGCUCUUUUACCCGGGAAGAUAAUGACUGUACCGGGAGAAUAAGCCCCGGCUAACUCCGUG